CUGGGGCUGAAGUAGGUCCCAAGGGUAUGGCUGUUCGCCAUUUAAAGUGGUACGCGAGCUGGGUUUAGAACGUCGUGAGACAGUUCGGUCCCUAUCUGCCGUGGGCGCUGGAGAAUUGAGGGGGGCUGCUCCUAGUACGAGAGGACCGGAGUGGACGCAUCACUGGUGUUCGGGUUGUCAUGCCAAUGGCACUGCCCGGUAGCUAAAUGCGGAAGAGAUAAGUGCUGAAAG
Molecule: ribosomal RNA, 231 nt
Filed under: Escherichia coli
Lineage: Bacteria; Pseudomonadati; Pseudomonadota; Gammaproteobacteria; Enterobacterales; Enterobacteriaceae
Description: partial 23S ribosomal RNA
Rfam family: Bacterial large subunit ribosomal RNA
Source: RNAcentral